UACGUAGGGGGCAAGCGUUGUCCGGAUUCACUGGGUGUAAAGGGCGCGCAGGCGGGUUAAUAAGUCAGAGGUGAAAUCCUACAGCUCAACUGUAGAACUGCCUUUGAUACUGUUAAUCUUGAGUUCGGAAGAGAGAGACGGAAUUCCAGGUGUAGUGGUGAAAUACGUAGAUAUCUGGAAGAACACCAGUAGCGAAGGCGGUCUCUUGGUCCGAUACUGACGCUCAGGCGCGAAAGCGUGGGUAGCAAACAGG
RNAcentral lists this ribosomal RNA (253 nucleotides) under uncultured bacterium. RNAcentral describes it as "partial 16S ribosomal RNA". It matches the Rfam family "Bacterial small subunit ribosomal RNA", at positions 524 to 776 of the family's 1533-position model. The record is from RNAcentral.